GAUGAAGAACGCAGCGAAAUGCGAUAAGUAAUGUGAAUUGCAGAAUUCAGUGAAUCAUCGAAUCUUUGAACGCACAUUGCGCCCGCCAGUAUUCUGGCGGGCAUGCCUGUUCGAGCGUCAUUACAACCCUCAGGCCCCCGGGCCUGGCGUUGGGGAUCGGCGGAGCCCCCCGUGGGCACACGCCGUCCCCCAAAUGCAGUGGCGGUCCCGCCGCAGCUUCCAUCGCGUAGUAGCUAACACCUCGCGACUGGAGAGCGGCGCGGCCACGCCGUAAAACACCCAACUCUUCUGAAGUUGACCUCGAAUCAGGUAGGAAUACCCGCUGACCUUAAGCAUAUCAAUAAGCGGAGGA
This 352-nucleotide unclassified non-coding RNA is filed under the name soil metagenome. Its description in RNAcentral is "partial contains 5.8S ribosomal RNA, internal transcribed spacer 2, and large subunit ribosomal RNA". The stretch from base 1 to 120 matches the Rfam family "5.8S ribosomal RNA", at positions 35 to 154 of the family's 154-position model. The record is from RNAcentral.